This 334-nucleotide unclassified non-coding RNA is filed under the name soil metagenome. RNAcentral's name for it is "partial contains 5.8S ribosomal RNA, internal transcribed spacer 2, and large subunit ribosomal RNA". The stretch from base 1 to 120 matches the Rfam family "5.8S ribosomal RNA", at positions 35 to 154 of the family's 154-position model. The record is from RNAcentral.
GAUGAAGAACGUAGCGAAAUGCGAUAAGUAAUGUGAAUUGCAGAAUUCAGUGAAUCAUCGAAUCUUUGAACGCACAUUGCGCCCCCCAGUAUUCUGGCGGGCAUGCCUGUUCGAGCGUCAUUUCGACCAUCAAGCCCUGCUUGUGUUGGGGUCCUGCGGCUGCCCGCAGGCCCUGAAAACCAGUGGCGGGCUCGCUAGUCACACCGAGCGCAGUAGCACAUCUCGCUCAGGGCGUGCGGCGGGCUCCAGCCGUUAAAGCACCCACCUUUCGCAAGGUUGACCUCGGAUCAGGUAGGAAUACCCGCUGAACUUAAGCAUAUCAAUAAGCGGAGGA